GGAGAGGUGGCCGAGUGGCUUAAGGCGGUGGUCUUGAAAACCAUUUGGGGUUACCCACGCAGGUUCGACUCCUGUCCUCUCCGCCA
This 86-nucleotide transfer RNA is filed under the name Gracilibacteraceae bacterium. RNAcentral describes it as "tRNA-Ser". It matches the Rfam family "tRNA". From Rfam's summary of the family: Transfer RNA (tRNA) molecules are approximately 80 nucleotides in length. Their secondary structure includes four short double-helical elements and three loops (D, anti-codon, and T loops). Lineage: Bacteria; Bacillati; Bacillota; Clostridia; Eubacteriales; Gracilibacteraceae. The record is from RNAcentral.